Molecule: long non-coding RNA, 198 nt
Organism: Pseudoliparis swirei
Lineage: Eukaryota; Metazoa; Chordata; Actinopteri; Perciformes; Liparidae
Exons: 3
Source: RefSeq, a predicted model, not a curated record
UUGUCUCACACACACACACACACACACACAGACACACACACACGCGUGUCAUGAGAUCGAGGGAAACAGAGUCCGUCCCAUUUCCCGGCAGCUCACACGGCGCCGAGGCGUUCCGGUUGGUGAGCUCAUUCAAGAAACACUCUUUAUUAAAAGAAUGAAAGAAAGCCACAGAAAAGACUCACCCACGAUGUCCUACAU